RNAcentral lists this ribosomal RNA (404 nucleotides) under uncultured bacterium. RNAcentral describes it as "bacterial SSU rRNA". It matches the Rfam family "Bacterial small subunit ribosomal RNA", at positions 29 to 421 of the family's 1533-position model. The record is from RNAcentral.
AACGAACGCUGGCGGCGCGCUUAACACAUGCAAGUCGAACGAGAAGGCGUAGCAAUACGCUUGUACAGUGGCGAACGGGUGAGUAAUACGUGGGCGACCUACCCUCGAGUGGGGAAUAACCCGCCGAAAGGACGGGCUAAUGCCGCGUACGCUUCCAUCUUUAUGGAGGUGGAAGGAAAGCCGUGCCGUGGGCACGGCGCUCAAGGAUGGGCUCACGUCCUAUCAGCUUGUUGGAGGGUAACGGCCUACCAAGGCUCCGACGGGUAGCUGGUCUGAGAGGACGAUCAGCCACACUGGCACUGCGACACGGGCCAGACUCCUACGGGAGGCAGCAGUGAGGAAUAUUGCGCAAUGGGCGAAAGCCUGACGCAGCGACGCCGCGUGGGGGAGUGAAGGUACUUCGG